AGUCAGGAAAGACUUGGUUCCUUGUCCAGAAGCAACGCUCAUCCCACACCCCAAAGGAACUGCUUAGUCCAAAAGACGGAGAAGAUGAGCAACAGGGUGACGCUGAGGAUGACAGCCAUCAGACAACCAGCCUGGCAGGCACUGACCGCUGAGAUCUUAGAGUCCAAAGGCCGGCCAUCUCUCCACCCUUGGGGACUUAAAAGGGGGAGCCAGGAAGGAGGACAGUUCCAGCCCCGCUUCCCCAUUUCAACCAGAAACACCUGGCUUUUCCCAUAUCGAUCGCUUGAAUAAGCUGAGUGGAGCUGCUGAGGGGAAGAAAAAGUUUAAGAACCAUUUCUCCAUCCUAACCACUCACUUUGCAGACGGGAAGCAAGAAGUGACUCUCACCCAAGGUCUCCCAGCUCGUCAGUGGUGUCACCCAGUGGUGACACUAGAGCUUCCAGCUCACCACUGUACUGCUGCUUGAAGACAACACUCGUCCAUCAGUUCACCUGCCGGGUGCGUGUUGUUAACUACAUGGUCCAGACUCUUCCUACCUGCCCCCGUCCCUCGCCUUCAGGCCCACCACCACCGGGACACCACUGAAAGCAGUGGUGGCCAGGGCUCUGGCCGGAAGAACCAGUCCACAUGUCUGAAGACCCGAGUUGCCACGUGGGUUCCGCCACAUGCUGUGUGCUCCUUGGCAAGUCAUUUUUCUUCUCUGCAGAACGGAGGUAAUAUACUCCACACUGCCUGUCUCACCGUGUUAUGUCAUUGGAAGACCCAGGUGAAAUUAUGAUUGUGAAAGUAGUAUAUGAAAUAUAGAGCACAUACGUCUCUGUAUUUGAGAAAAUGAGGGAAUCCUGGAUUCCGGGAUGUAUUAUAAUUCUUCACAGAAGUACUGGUUACUAGAGUGUGUUUGGCUUAUGGAGAAUCAGCAAGCUAUGAUCGUAAGGCAUCUGCAAUUAUUUAUGAUUGCUAUGCUUGAAUUAAAAGAUAAAAAAAUACAUAUAGUGGCUUGGAGGGGCAACUGGGUGGCUCAGUUGGUUAAGCGACCCACUCUUGAUUUCGGCUCAGGUCACGAUCUCGC
Long non-coding RNA from Felis catus (domestic cat), 1069 nucleotides. RefSeq lists it as uncharacterized. Lineage: Eukaryota; Metazoa; Chordata; Mammalia; Carnivora; Felidae. The record is from RefSeq and is a predicted model, not a curated record. The transcript has 3 exons.